RNAcentral lists this ribosomal RNA (765 nucleotides) under Pseudarthrobacter defluvii. Its description in RNAcentral is "bacterial SSU rRNA". It matches the Rfam family "Bacterial small subunit ribosomal RNA", at positions 20 to 800 of the family's 1533-position model. Lineage: Bacteria; Bacillati; Actinomycetota; Actinomycetes; Micrococcales; Micrococcaceae. The record is from RNAcentral.
UGGCUCAGGAUGAACGCUGGCGGCGUGCUUAACACAUGCAAGUCGAACGAUGAAGCCCACUUGUGGGUGGAUUAGUGGCGAACGGGUGAGUAACACGUGAGUAACCUGCCCUUGACUCUGGGAUAAGCCUGGGAAACUGGGUCUAAUACCGGAUAUGACCUUCCAUCGCAUGGUGGUUGGUGGAAAGCUUUUGUGGUUUUGGAUGGACUCGCGGCCUAUCAGCUUGUUGGUGAGGUAAUGGCUUACCAAGGCGACGACGGGUAGCCGGCCUGAGAGGGUGACCGGCCACACUGGGACUGAGACACGGCCCAGACUCCUACGGGAGGCAGCAGUGGGGAAUAUUGCACAAUGGGCGCAAGCCUGAUGCAGCGACGCCGCGUGAGGGAUGACGGCCUUCGGGUUGUAAACCUCUUUCAGUAGGGAAGAAGCGAAAGUGACGGUACCUGCAGAAGAAGCGCCGGCUAACUACGUGCCAGCAGCCGCGGUAAUACGUAGGGCGCAAGCGUUAUCCGGAAUUAUUGGGCGUAAAGAGCUCGUAGGCGGUUUGUCGCGUCUGCCGUGAAAGUCCGGGGCUCAACUCCGGAUCUGCGGUGGGUACGGGCAGACUAGAGUGAUGUAGGGGAGACUGGAAUUCCUGGUGUAGCGGUGAAAUGCGCAGAUAUCAGGAGGAACACCGAUGGCGAAGGCAGGUCUCUGGGCAUUAACUGACGCUGAGGAGCGAAAGCAUGGGGAGCGAACAGGAUUAGAUACCCUGGUAGUCCAUGC